Molecule: ribosomal RNA, 460 nt
Filed under: uncultured bacterium
Lineage: Bacteria
Description: partial 16S ribosomal RNA
Rfam family: Bacterial small subunit ribosomal RNA
Source: RNAcentral
CCUACGGGCGGCAGCAGUGAGGAAUAUUGGUCAAUGGGCUUACGCCUGAACCAGCCAAGUCGCGUGAGGGAAGACUGCCCUAUGGGUUGUAAACCUCUUUUGUCAGGGAGCAACGCCGGCUACGUGUAGCCGGACUGAGAGUACCUGAAGAAAAAGCAUCGGCUAACUCCGUGCCAGCAGCCGCGGUAAUAGGGAGGAUGCGAGCGUUAUCCGGAUUUAUUGGGUUUAAAGGGUGCGUAGGCGGAAUGCCAAGUCAGCGGUAAAAUCGCGGGGCUCAACCUCGCUCCGCCGUUGAAACUGGCGUUCUUGAGUGGGCGAGAAGUAUGCGGAAUGCGUGGUGUAGCGGUGAAAGGCAUAGAUAUCACGCAGAACUCCGAUUGCGAAGGCAGCCUACCGGCGCCCAACUGACGCUGAAGCACGAAAGCGUGGGUAUCGAACAGGAUUAGAUACCCCGGUAGUC